CCAUUGAUAUGAUUUCUUGAAAAGCUUCAAUACAGAGAAGCUUCAGUACAAAGAAGCUCCUGCGUGGUCGCCCAUUUUUACUAGCACUGCGCAACCGGCCAAGUCGAGCACACACACAAGGAAAAAAAAGUGAAGUACAUGUUUUGAAAAAUUUGUAUGUUUAAAGACAUAAACCUCAUAUGUUCAGGAAAAGAGUUUCAAAACAUUUUUGUGCUAUUUACUUCAGAGUUUGUCCGCUGUUUCAACUUUUGUUUUAACCUUUUUGUUUCUAAACUCUGCAUCUUCUAUGUUUACAGAUUGUUGGCAUGAUUCUUGAAUUGGGGACUGGAGUUCAAGUAUUAAAUCCAGGCAAGUUCAACAAAUAAACCGCAUCAAGUUCUUGUUUAUUUAGCAAUAUAUAAGUUUACUGUGCAAAAAGCAGUGGUUCAAAUAUGAAAGAAGAAUAUAAAAGGUCCAACAUGCGCAUGUUGCCAGUGCCCCUAGUAGGCCUCCGCCUCCGGUUGCCAGUGCAGCUCACGGCUCCUGUACUCCUCCAUCAUGUGCACGGUUGCUGCUCUCCUCUGCUUUCUCUCUCUCUUGCAUGAUGUUGCUGCUCCUCUCAAAUCUCUCUAGCUCUAUUAAUUCAUGAUGCUGCCUCAUCUCUGAAUUGUUGUGGUGACGCUGAGGUUUUGUUGUCACCCACAGGAUCACUGCCUCCGUGUCCACAUUCAGAUGUGCUGCAAGUUCAAUUGUUUCAGUUCGAGCGGGUGCACAAAACACAAUGUUCUAGUCCGUACUGUCCACAUGUGCUGCAAGUUCAAUUGUUUCAGUUUGAACAUUUGCUACCCUAGUCAUUUGUUUGUUGCUAAAAUGUCGGAGUCGCACUUCUCAUUCUUGAAUGAAUUUUUUCUAUACCAUCGUCUUUAUUUCUAAAUGUAAGUCACUUUUUUUUGCCGUCAGGUGUUUGCUUAAAUGCCUAAACAAAGAUCUAUUUUAGUUCAGUUCAAAUUCUAGUUUUAGUUCAGUGCAAAUCUUAUUUUAAGUUCAGUACAAUUUCUUAUUUUAGUGUGAGCAGUCCUUCAAAUGUCUUGCCUUAUAUUACUGCUAUGUCAGUACAUAGAACAAAAAAAAAUUACAACAAAUUGACAAUGUUUAAUCUCUUCUAUGUUAGUAUAGGCUACAUGUAUACAACAUUUAAUCUGUAGUAGUAGUAGCAGUCUUGCUAUGUAAGGGAGCAGCCGAACUCCAGUAAUUUGUGAGAAAAUCACUUUGGAUACAUGAGUGCAGGAUUAAUACAUUAUUAAUUAUUGCAGGUGGUCAGACCUUAGAAGCCACUUGCAGCCGCACUUGCCGGCACCCGCGACGCGCCACCCCACCGCCCCCCAAGGCACGCCGUCCCACGGUCCGCUGGGCGCGGCGUCCUCCCGAGCUCCGCCUUGCGCAGCUGCUCCUGCUCUGCCUUCCAGGUGACCAAUGUGUCUGCCUCCGUGCGCUGCGUGGAUGAGCGUGUUAUGGAUCCGAACGAUCUACCUAAUCUGAACAGUAGGGAAGGUGCAUCAUGUACACUAUGGUGCAUCAAAUUCCGCAUCAAUCUGAACAAUAGGGAGCAUGUUAUGUCAUUCAUGUAUGAAAAUGUGCGGUAUGUGCGGUGUAUAUGUGGAAAAUUUUCUGUCUGAUGAUAUAAUUGCUACUUCUUGAAAGAAGGUAUACAUGACAGUUUGAUGUGUGUACAAGAAUGAACAAAAUGGUUUGAAUUAAAAACAUUGAUC
Molecule: long non-coding RNA, 1748 nt
Filed under: Triticum aestivum (bread wheat)
Lineage: Eukaryota; Viridiplantae; Streptophyta; Magnoliopsida; Poales; Poaceae
Description: long non-coding RNA (TAES_LNC021829)
Source: RNAcentral